This 99-nucleotide small nuclear RNA is filed under the name Vombatus ursinus (common wombat). Lineage: Eukaryota; Metazoa; Chordata; Mammalia; Diprotodontia; Vombatidae. The record is from RNAcentral.
CAACAAGAGGUGAUGAGAGUCUGAACAAGAAACAAUACAGAAAAGAUUAGCAUGGUCCACGAGCAAGGAUAACAAAUUCAUGAACCAUCCAAUAUUUCU